GUCUCCAGGGCAGGGGCCCCCAUUCAGCCUGUUCCCAUUGCCAGUGUGAGAUGCCCAGAUGUGGGGCACCCAGGCCUGGGAUGCCCAGGCAUGGAGUAUCCAGGUGGAGAAACAUGGGGCUAAAUGAUGAUCUUGAAAAGGGCCCUCACUCGUGAGCCUUCGCCAUGUGCCAGUCACUAUGCUGAGCACCUUGCAGGAGCUUCAGGUCCAGGCCUUGGGGGUCAGCAGGGCAAGCCUGAGCCCUGUGGUGCUGUGGGAAGACUUGGUUCAAGUGACACUGAGCCUGGGACAAAGUGCGGUUGAUGGCUCUUGUUUUCCCUGGCCCUUCAGAUUGCCUUUGGGAAACCACCCAACCCUCACUCCCCUCCACCCACGUGCAUUGCAUGGGGCUAAUUCUACCCCAGGCCCUGACUCCAAGUAUGAUCACCUGAUCCAGACCUGGCCAAUCAGCCUGUUCUGUCCCCCAGGCCACAGUGAUUUGUUUAGGGAUGAUCAUGUGACCUACAGAAAGCUUCAGGAUAGUGGCUUCCUUGGGUAGGGGAGGCUGAUGGUCAGACAGGGAAGAAGCCCACAGACAGAUGCAAGUGCUGGUUAAUGUUCUGAUUCUUGUGUUGGAUGACCAGGUCUUGGGUGUUUAUUUAUAUAAAUAAACAGAGGAGAACCGUUUAUGAACCUAUGGCAAGAGGAUGGCGUGAAUAAGGGAUCAUGAUUAAUAGAAUUCAGAGACAAAGGGAGAGAAAACAAACAAAAAACACCUCUGGAACUUGUUGGAGCUCUUGGAAAAGAAAAGCUGUGAGUGGAUGUUCAAGAGGGUAACCUAGGGCCUCAUGCAUUGGGGCAUUCAGAAGUUUCGUACUGGAUCAAAAACAACGAAUGAAGCCUGCAGUGCAGAGAAAACAUUGUGAUAUGAGGGUCUUGCUGUGAUGACUGGAGCUGUGGCAGCCACCUUGUGACCAUGAGGGAAAAGCCAAGAGACUAGUUGAGAAGCCAACUGAGAGUUUUACCGCCAACUGAGAGUUUUACCUCCAUUGAGCUGCUGGAUUUGCCAACUCUA
This 1054-nucleotide long non-coding RNA is filed under the name Homo sapiens (human). RNAcentral describes it as "HSALNT0362519". The record is from RNAcentral. Lineage: Eukaryota; Metazoa; Chordata; Mammalia; Primates; Hominidae.